CCUACGGGUGGCAGCAGUGGGGAAUAUUGCACAAUGGGCGAAAGCCUGAUGCAGCAACGCCGCGUGAGCGAUGAAGGUCUUCGGGUCGUAAAGCUCUGUCCUCAACGAAGAUAAUGACGGGACUUGAGGAGGAAGCCCCGGCAAACUACGUGCCAGCUGCCGCGGUAAUAAGUAGGGGGCUAGCGUUAUACGGAAUUACUGGGGGUAAAGGGUGCGGAGGUGGUUUCUAAAGUCAGAGGGGAAAGGCUGGGGCUAAACCGUAGUAAGCCAUUGAAACUGGGAAACUUGAGUGCAGGAGAGGGGAGUGGAAUUCCUAGGGUAGCGGUGAAAUGCGUAGAUAUUAGGAGGAACACCAGUUGCGAAGGCGGCUCUCUGGAUUGUAACUGACGCUGAGGCACGAAAGCGUGGGGAGCAAACAGGAUUAGAUACCCCGGUAGUC
This 439-nucleotide ribosomal RNA is filed under the name uncultured bacterium. RNAcentral describes it as "partial 16S ribosomal RNA". It matches the Rfam family "Bacterial small subunit ribosomal RNA", at positions 338 to 795 of the family's 1533-position model. The record is from RNAcentral.